RNAcentral lists this ribosomal RNA (253 nucleotides) under uncultured bacterium. Its description in RNAcentral is "partial 16S ribosomal RNA". It matches the Rfam family "Bacterial small subunit ribosomal RNA", at positions 524 to 776 of the family's 1533-position model. The record is from RNAcentral.
UACGGAGGGUGCAAGCAUUAAUCGGAUUUAUUGGGCGUAAAGAGCGCGUAGGCGGAAAUGAAAGUCGGAUGUGAAAUUCUUGGGCUCAACCUAAGAACUGCAUUCGAAACUCCAUUCCUAGAGGAUAGAAGGAGAAAACGGAAUUCCACAAGUAGCGGUGAAAUGCGUAGAUAUGUGGAAGAACACCGGUGGCGAAGGCGGUUUUCUAUUUUAUUCCUGACGCUCAAGCGCGAAAGCAAGGGGAUCAAACAGG